Molecule: ribosomal RNA, 483 nt
Filed under: Oblongocollomyces variabilis
Lineage: Eukaryota; Fungi; Ascomycota; Dothideomycetes; Botryosphaeriales; Botryosphaeriaceae
Description: eukaryotic LSU rRNA
Rfam family: 5.8S ribosomal RNA (bases 157-310)
Source: RNAcentral
UUCUCGAGCUUCGGCUCGACUCUCCCACCCUUUGUGAACAUACCUCUGUUGCUUUGGCGGCUCGCCUCCGUGGCCUCGUGCCUCGGACGGCCGCCAGAGGACCAUCAAACUCCAGUCAGUAAACGUCGACGUCUGAUAAACAAGUUAAUAAACUAAAACUUUCAACAACGGAUCUCUUGGUUCUGGCAUCGAUGAAGAACGCAGCGAAAUGCGAUAAGUAAUGUGAAUUGCAGAAUUCAGUGAAUCAUCGAAUCUUUGAACGCACAUUGCGCCCCUUGGUAUUCCGAGGGGCAUGCCUGUUCGAGCGUCAUUACAACCCUCAAGCUCUGCUUGGUAUUGGGCGCCGUCCUCACUGCGGACGCGCCUCAAAGACCUCGGCGGUGGCGUCUAGCCCUCAAGCGUAGUAGAAAACACCUCGCUUUGGAGCGGUUGGCGUCGCCCGCCGGACGAACCUUCUGAACUUUUCUCAAGGUUGACCUCGGA